This 460-nucleotide ribosomal RNA is filed under the name uncultured bacterium. Its description in RNAcentral is "partial 16S ribosomal RNA". It matches the Rfam family "Bacterial small subunit ribosomal RNA", at positions 338 to 795 of the family's 1533-position model. The record is from RNAcentral.
CCUACGUGAGACAGCAGUGAGGAAUAUUGGUCAAUGGGCUUACGCCUGAACCAGCCAAAUCGCGUGAGGGAAGACUGCCCUAUGGGUUGUAAACCUCUUUUGUCAGGGAGCAACGCCGGCUACGUGUAGCCGGACUGAGAGUACCUGAAGAAAAAGCAUCGGCUAACUCCGUGCCAGCAGCCGCGGUAAUACGGAGGAUGCGAGCGUUAUCCGGAUUUAUUGGGUUUAAAGGGUGCGUAGGCGGAAUGCCAAGUCAGCGGUAAAAUCGCGGGGCUCAACCUCGCUCCGCCGUUGAAACUGGCGUUCUUGAGUGGGCGAGAAGUAUGCGGAAUGCGUGGUGUAGCGGUGAAAUGCAUAGAUAUCACGCAGAACUCCGAUUGCGAAGGCAGCAUACCGGCGCCCAACUGACGCUGAAGCACGAAAGCGUGGGUAUCGAACAGGAUUAGAUACCCCGGUAGUC